Molecule: long non-coding RNA, 1223 nt
Filed under: Apteryx owenii (little spotted kiwi)
Lineage: Eukaryota; Metazoa; Chordata; Aves; Apterygiformes; Apterygidae
Description: lncRNA (ENSAOWG00000013347.1)
Source: RNAcentral
CGGUAACGCCAGGAUAGCUCUUGUGUCUUCUGCAGCUGGAAGUAAAGAAAUGAUUUUAAAACAAGAAGCUGAGUGGGUUGCACAGCUUUGGAUGGGAAGGCAGGCAGCGGUGCAAAGGCCUGGUUGCUCCAGCUCGUGGUUUCCACAGAAACCGCCGGGCAACGGUUGUGUCUCCUGCACGGUGAUACAGAAAAACAAUGAGGUAUCACUCUUAUCUGCUUGAGCUGUACUGAACUGACUGUCUCCCUUUAUGCGACCACUAGUGUUGCUAUGAGCUCUGCGGUUUGAGCAGCAAGGUGCUUGGCUGGCACUGAUGUGACAAACACAGCUCAACCUGUUCCUGUUGCCUUUAGGUUGAUAUUUCCUGACCAGUUCCCAGAAACUCCCUUCUCUGAGGAAGGGAGAGAGGAGAGACGAAUGUGAAUGUGUUAAGAGGGCUUUUAGACUGCUAACUUGCAUACAUGCACUUGUUUGUCAGCUGUGAGCACAGACGGACAAUGACUGAGGCUACAAGAUACUGACAGAGGAGAGAUCUAUACACAUCACAGUGUUAUUUAGGCCCAGCCAAGGCGUACGGUCUAAUCACACCAAUACCAUCUCACCACAUUAUAAACAGGAAAGAUGGAGGGAAGAAGGAGCGCUGGGGUCUUCAGUGGGAUGGCAAGCCAGCUGCACUUCAGCAGCCUGUGACUGACACAAUGGGAAUUCAAAGAUGUUUGGCACAGUCUGUUACCAGGACUGAACUAGCACAGAUAAUUGACCACCCUUUCUGAAGAAUGAGGCAAAGCCUCCACUGGAGGAGGUAUGUUGGCAAGCAGCAGGGGAAAGGACAGGAAUACGUACAGAAGGACUGAAAAGAGGCAGAGAGAGCGUAGCAGUGUCACUCGGUGCCUUUGCUGCACAUCUUGUUUGCUGGACUGGUUGUCGGACCUUUGAUAACGUUCUGCUACCCUGUGGCCCUGUUGGCAAAGAAGUGAUGAGAUGGGAAGCCUGCCUAUUUCUAUCUCAAAACUUUAAGGAGACCACAGGCAGCUGAAUUCCUCCAGAAAGGAGCCAAACUCCUCAGUCCAGGUGAGGAAUUUUCUGAUACUUUAUUAAGACACAACUGCUCUGAACCUGUCAAUGUCUGUGAAUUCUAGCAUCUCUGAAGCUUUGUGUUUAAUGUCAGUUUGGGAUUCAAAAGACCCAGGUGCCAGGACACUUGGGCUACAAAGAACAAAGCC